Molecule: long non-coding RNA, 831 nt
Filed under: Apteryx rowi (Okarito brown kiwi)
Lineage: Eukaryota; Metazoa; Chordata; Aves; Apterygiformes; Apterygidae
Description: lncRNA (ENSARWG00000007247.1)
Source: RNAcentral
CUGAACCGCGCCCCGUCUCCUUUCUCAUUGGCGCUCGCAGCGGAUUCCUCGCCUUUGCGUCCCGCCCCCUUCCUGCUCCCGGCUUCCUGUGGCGUCUUCCGGAUAGCCCCACACCCCCGGCGCGGGAGAGGCUCGUGGAGGGAGAUGAUUGGAGGACCAAGACCCCCUUUCCUGAAUGGCGACUGGAACCCAGACCUUUCAGAACUACUUCUUCUGUGAUGUCUGUUCAGAUGGUGGACUUCCACGAAUGGGAAACAAGCUGCCUUUGCACCUGAACGACCGAGGAACCUGCUGCCAGCGCUCAGCGUGGAAACCCUUGCAGAGCUGUUCAUGUCAGGGUUGCAGUCACCUUCCCGGAGAGAACUUCUCCAUCUGGAUUUCUGAAGGUUUACACGGGAUGAACCUCUGCAUUUCUUCUGUGUGUCUUUUGCCCGGGAGAAAUCUCUUCCCUGCCCACCUCAUGGGGCCAGGGAUUUGUGUAAUGAGCAGUACAUGGUACAAAAUUGCACUUGGGUAUUGGACUUCCUGGCCCUCCGAUACGGCACGUUUUCAAAUUGCCUUCCUCGAAGAGAAGACCAAGGAAGAGUUUGUCAUGCUGCACGCUUGUACUCGCUGCGUUGAGCUCCGCCAACCGCGAAAACGGCCCGAGGAAAAAUGUUUAUGAUACUAAAUUCCUGUAACAAAGGACGUAGCAAURCAUUAAAUCUCUGAAUAUUUAUGGAAAACUGCUAGAUGGUUUUUUUCCAGAUUUAUAGUGAUGUCCCAAGGUGAAAAAGUAAUUUUAUAUUCACCAUUAAUCUUGUACAACAAAACACAUGGCGAGGAUCCGGU